CCUGACGAGCACGCCGCGUGAGUGAAGAAGGUUUUCGGAUCGUAAAGCUCUGUUGUAAGAGAAGAACGUGUGUGAGAGUGGAAAGUUCACACAGUGACGGUAACUUACCAAAAAGGGACGGCUAACUACGUGCCAGCAGCCGCGGUAAAAACCUUCUU
RNAcentral lists this ribosomal RNA (158 nucleotides) under uncultured Streptococcus sp. RNAcentral's name for it is "partial 16S ribosomal RNA". It matches the Rfam family "Bacterial small subunit ribosomal RNA", at positions 382 to 532 of the family's 1533-position model. The record is from RNAcentral. Lineage: Bacteria; Bacillati; Bacillota; Bacilli; Lactobacillales; Streptococcaceae.